Molecule: long non-coding RNA, 4637 nt
Filed under: Cricetulus griseus (Chinese hamster)
Lineage: Eukaryota; Metazoa; Chordata; Mammalia; Rodentia; Cricetidae
Description: lncRNA (ENSCGRG00015033275.1)
Source: RNAcentral
ACAAUGUCCCGUUUCCUCCACCUAGGCCUACCUCCUAAAAAUUGCAUAAUUUUCCAAAUCAGUGUUAUCAGCUAGGAAAUUAGUGUUAAAACAUAUGAGCCUAUGGGGAACAUUUCAUAUUCAAAUCAUAUGGCAUGGAAGAAUGGGUGGGUGGGUAGAUGGGUGGAAAGGUGACAGAUGAAUGGAGGAUUGGUGGGUUGAUGGAUGGAUAAUAGAAGAGGCAUAUAUGGAUAACUUGUGGAUAAUAGGAUGAAUGUGUGAAUGUGUGGGUGAAUGGAUGAGUAAAUGGAUGACAGAUGGGUGAUGGAAAUGAUGGAUGAUGGAUAGAUGAGGGUGCAGGAUUAUAGACAGAUGGGUGGGUAGGUGGAUAGAUGAAUGAACACAUAGAUAAAUGGAUGGAGGUGGAACAGGCAUACAUGAGUAACUGAUGGAUAGUAGGAUGGAUGUGGCUGUGUGGAUGGAUAAAUGAAUGGAUGGAUCUAUCUGUUUGGAUUAAUGGUGGAAGAUGCAUGGGGUGAGUGAUGGAUAAGUCUGGGAUGGAUGGAUAGAUGGAUGGAUGGAGGAUUCAGGCAUGGGUGACUGGUGCAGAGUAUGUCAGAUGGAUGGAUGAGCAAAUUGAGUAGGUUAAUGAUGGAAGCCUUGUCUGGUGAAUGAUGUGAAGGGCAAAUGGGUGAUUUUAAGUUGAUAAUGAGUGUAGUCAGAAGAGACAAUCAUUGGUAAUGUCUCAGCUACUUUGUCUGCUAUUGUGAUAAAAUGCCCUAAUAAAGGCAAAUUAAGAGAGAAGGAUUAUUUUGACUCAUAGUCUGAAGUUACAGUCUGUCACAGCAGGGAAUUCAAAACAGUGGAAGCUUGAGGCAGUGGCUCAUAUUAAAUCCACAGUCAAGAAGAGUAGCCAGGUGGUGGUGGCUCAUUGCCUUUAAUCCCAGCACUCAGGAGGCAGAGGCAGGUGGAUCUCUGUGAGUUCAAGGCCAGCCUGGUCUACAAAGUGAGUUUCAGGACAGCCAGGGCUACACAGAGAAACCCUGUCUCAAAAAAACAAACCAAAAAAAAAAAAAAAAGAAAGAAAGAAAGAAAGAAAGAAGAAAAGAAGAGAGGUAAGUGAUGAAUGUUUAUCAAUAUAGGAUCCCAGGACAGGAAUGAUGCUAUCCACAAUAGGAAGGAUGUCCCACCUCAACCUAAUCAAAACAAUAACCCAAAGGCACGCCCAGAGGCCUGUCUCCCAAGUGAUUCUAGAUCCCAUUAAGUUGACAAUCUACAUUAUGAGGUAGGCUGAACUAUCCCAUGCCAGAGCACAAGAAUCUAGCCUCAGCCUCAAUCUGACUCUAGCCUUCCCAGCCACAAACAGAGAGCAUGGGGCAUGGGCUGGGGCAGAACUUGGUCAGGCGCCCACCCUUAUUAGACAGGUCUUCUCAAAUGCCUGUUGCCUUGAAAUCUAGAGCCUGUGCUUGGGGGGUGGGGUGGGGUUGUCAAGCUACAGGAGCCGCCAUGGUUUCAAUCAGGGUCCCAGAGAGAGAUAAGACUCACCAGGAACCAUAAAGCUAGGGCCCACCCUUGUCCUGGGCCUCUCCCCUCUUUCUUGGCUCUGUGCUUCAUGUGGGUUGUGGUGAUUGAUUCUUGUCCAGCUCUAACCUGAGCUGAGCCACCCUUGACCUGGCCUGACCUCAGCAGUGAUCUGGGUAGAGGCAGAUGGGAAGAAACCACAGGCACCAAACAACCCUUGAAAUGACCAUGAUUGUCCCUGGCACCAUGCCCUUGGGGAGCCUGACCACAACGGGGCUCCUGUGAAGCAACAGUCUGACUAUUGCUCAGUAUCCUCUAAGAUCAGAAUUCUUGGUUUCCUCAAGCCCUUCCCCACCCCUCUCAGAGCCUUGGGGUCCUGUUCACAGAGACAGACAGCGACAAAUGAAGACCAAUGCUAAGGCCAGGAACACCAAGUUGCUAAGAAUAGCAAAAUUGUCACCUGUAGCCUUAGGAACCUAAGCCUGUAUACAGUAGGUGCCCAAUGGGUAUUCACUGGAGGGAAGGGAUGAUCCAGAUUUCUAGGUGGAUCCACUGGAAGGCUUAGGGACCCCAUGUUUAUCCAUUUGCCUCUUUGAAGGGAUACUCACUCAUGGAGAGGGAAGCUUGCUUCUGAUUACUCUGACUUCAAGUAAGCCAGGACCUCCACCACACCUCUAUGUCACCCCAGACCAAAGAACCCUAAAAGUAACUCCAGGCAAAAUUUAGGGAGCUGCAAAUACAUGUUCCUCCAGUACAUUCACUCCAUAGCCAGACCUUCUAGAACAUUCCCCAGAGGCCAGUCAGGGACCCACUCACUCACUCUGUUGAUCAGAACCCUAGAUCACUGCUAUUUGGGACCCUCAAAAGUCCCCCUGACAUCAACUUAUGUCUGUACAUAGCAUCACACUCUGAAGAGCCAUAGAACUUCAAGUCCAAACCCAAUUCCUUUUCACAGCUGUGUGAUCAGAGGCAAGCCACUUAACCUCUCUGGGUUUCAGGUUCCUGUUCUGUGCAGUGAAGGUGGUGGGGUGAUCACUGUGUGGAUUCAGCAAGGUACCUCUGUAAGGAGUGGGCCCUGCAGGUGGGCCCUGCAGGUGGGCCCUGCAGGUGGACCCCUAAGCAGAGUCUCCAGACUCACCUGCAGCUUCCAAGUCCUGUCUUCCCCACUGCCCAACCUCCAGCACAAGAGCGUGGGAACUUCCUAGUGCUGUGUUUGUCUUGGGCAGCUGGGGAGGGGCUGCACCCUCUGUCAGCUCCAGUGUGCUCCUGCCAGGUCACCCAGCGUGAAAGGGAGGGAUUGUUCCCGUGACCUUUGCUUUUCUAGUCAAAGGUUCUAGGGCCUGAGACAGAGCGGGCCCUUCUUCCUGAAGGCCAGGCAGCCAUGGCCAUCCCCCCCACCCCCACCCCCACCUAAAGGAGUUACAGGUCACCUGUGUCAAGGGGACUCUAUAGCUCUGUCCCUACCUCCAGAGCCAGCAGCCUACCGGAUCUCCAUCCUCCAAAACUGGUGCUCCAUGCCCUGUUCAGCCCCAGUUACCCACCUGCACUCCGCCCUGGGGAGGUGCUUGGAGGUGGGUGUCAGGUCUCUACCUAGCUGGAGACACUAUCAUUUUUUUCUCACUUAGCCUCAGUCUCCCGGGUCCCCCAAUCAUGAGGCUGACAGCCUCAAAGUAUAACCCUCUAGCAGCUUCAGAAACAACCAUUCAUGCUGCAGUCCCUGCAGGGUUAAGGGUCAUUAAGGUCACGGAGGCUCCAUUUCCGAUCUUCCAAAGGUGAGGGUCAUUAAUGAGCGUUGUUCUUUCCUUCUGGGGCAUGAACAAAGCAGGUUCAGCUCACAGCAGAAAGGCUGCAGGUCAGGGUUCCCAGGGUAUGGAAUGUCAGCCUCGGGCAGCAAUGACAGUCACCCAGCAUCUCUAAAAAUAGCCUGAAGCUGCUUUGGAAAGGGAGGUGGGGCACGGCCACCACUCAUGGCUGGCCUUCUUCUGCUUUUGUUUCCUUUUUAAGGACAAAAAGAAAAUGAACUCAAGAAGGGUCAAACCAGAAAGGUGACAUCAAGGUAAAGGCCACAGCAGACUGUCCUAGUCCACUUAGGAUCAAACCUGAUCUCCCGGAAGUCCCACAGUUGGCAGCAUUUGGUGUGUCUGGCCUCAGUGCUGAUGGCGCUCCUGUUCAGUCACUAGUUCCCACAGGCUGGCAGGGCAGCCUGGUCUACACCACACAGAACAGAGCUGACCUGUCGAGCCCAGCACCCAUUAGCCAUGUGGAGCUCUCAAACACUUGAAGUUUGGGGGCUGACAAGACAGCUCAGUGGGUAAAAUGUGUAUCAUGUAACCAUGAGAGCUUGAGUUUAGAUCCCCAGCACCCACAUAAAAUUCUGAGUACAGCAGCAGCAUACAGCAGUAGUAACUCCAGGGUUAAAGGCAGUUGAAGCAGGAGGAUUCCCUGGAGCUUGAUGGCCAGCCAGUCUAGUCUACUGAUGAACUCUGGGUUCACAGAGACCCUACCUCAAAAUGAAAAGCUGGGGAGUGAGAGAAAGACAUCUGAAUUGACCCGAGACCUCUUCACGUGCAUGUGUACCUGCACUCCCGUGGUAUGUGUACACAUGUGCAUUCGAGUGUCAGUGCACACAUAUAGCUGGAUGUCAUAUGCAACAGCAAAGUUUUAAAACCUGAGAGAAUCAUAAUUGAUUAGUAAUGUCUUUCAAGGAUAGAGGAUGGGAAACUAAGGCCUGAAUGUGGUGUUACUGAAAGACCAGGGGGCCAGGCGGUAGUGGCCCAAGCCUUUAAUCCCAGCAGAAGUAGGCGGAUCUCUGUGAGUUCAAGACCAGCCUGGUCUACAAGAGCUAGUUCCAGGACAGCCUCCAAAGCCACAGAGAAACCCUGUCUCAGAAAAAAUUUUUAAAAAAUUAAAAAAAAAAAAAACAAGACUGGGGGACUCAGUCAGAUCUAAUGAUUCUGGGGCUCAAAGUUUUAGCAUUUAGGAGGAGAACGUAUCAGUGAGGUUCAGUGUCAGAGUCAUGUUCUUCAAUCUCAGGGGCUUUACUUAAUUGUAGUCAGAACUUUGCUGGGCCUGCUGGCUCCCCAAUAAUGACACGGAGACUUAUUAAUUAUAAAAACUUGGCUGACAGCUUAGGCUUG